GCAGUUAAACGACUUUAUUAAUUUCAGAGUAUGGCAGAACGUUUACUAAAUUACAUAAAAAAAAAAGUCGUCACGAGAAUUCCAAAAUAAACAAAUAAAUAAUCUAAAGGUCAAUUUGGUAAAUUAACAUCGUACCUUUGUUGUAUAAAUAUACCCCAAAUCCCAAAAUGAGUACUCGCAAAUUCAAAAUUACAAUCCUCACCCUCCUCAAAUCGCUUAAAAAAAAUUCAAAUCUCUGUGAAAUCGGAAAAAACAUGUCUCAAGUAAUCGCAAGCCACCGUGAAAAUGCCGAAAUUUACACAGAUCCGGUGGUUUGCAAGCAGAAAUCACUUGAACUCCUGAAGGAAAUCAACAUGCCUAAUGGUCUUCUCCCACUUGAAGACAUUGUAGAAGUCGGCCGCAACGCCGAAACCGGAUUCGUGUGGCUGAAACAGAAGAAGGCGAAAGAGCACAAGUAUAAGAAGAUCGGGAAGCUCGUCUGGUACGAUACUGAGGUGACGGCGUUUGUGGAGAAUCGCCGGAUGAAGAAGCUCACCGGCGUAAAGAGCAAGGAGAUCCUCAUCUGGGUUACGAUUUCUGAUAUUUCAAUUUCCGAUCCGGAGUGUAAGAAGAUUAACUUUGCUACCCCUACUGGACUUUCUAGGUCUUUUCCUGUGUCGGCUUUUGAAGAGGAGGAAGAAGAAGAGGAGAAGAAGUGAAGCUGAAGGUUUCAGGGGUAUUUUAAGGAAUUAAUAAUGUGUUCUUUUAUUUUACUAGUACUAUUUAAAUAAUUAAAUUACUGUUUUUUUUUAUAAUCUAUUUUAAUCCUAUCCUAUGUAACCAAAGUUAAAAAUGAAAAUGGAACUAUAGUUUAUACUGGAUUGUAUUUCUCUUUCUAUUUGGACCUUUUUAGCUGCAUACAUAAAAUCUACACCUCUGAUUCAUUUUCAUAUAAUUAAGAAAUUUACAAAAUAUAAAAUGUGGUGAAUUUUGAACUGUAAGAAUGUUAAAAAUGAUUUUACUAGGUAAAUAUUUCAAAGUUUUUCUUAAUUCAUUCCACGAUUUUUUACGAGCAAAAGAUAUAACUUCUAUUAGUUGAUAAGUUAUUCACUAUAACUUCUGGACCAAGUUAAUGUAACUUGAUAGAAUGAAUAUAAAUAUUAAUUAAUCAUGAUUAUGUACUGUUUAUUUUUUUUUUAACCGUGAUUUUUAAUAGCGUUUUGCGAACCUAACCCAUCACAUCCGUUGUUUCAAGACGGAUGCACCACAAUUAAUUUCACGAAAUUCUAGAAAUGUGAUGCGUCUAUAAUGCCUCAGUGGCCCUACUAAGAUUCAAACUGAAAGACUUUAUUCUCAGUUGAGCUAUGCAGAUUUAUGAUUAUAUACUGUCAUUUGUAUGUUUAUAUAUGCGUAGCUAUUAUUUAUUCAUUUGAAAUAAAUAUCGAUAUAAAUGCUUAUCACCUACUCAAUCACAAAAUUCUCAUCCCAAAAUAAACAAAAAGGAAAAAAAAAGGAUAUUACUCCUAUAAGAAGAAAAGGCAGAAAAAGACGGUACAUGCCAUGAAUUUGGAAAUCGAAUAGGUGAAUUUUUUAUUUUUUAUUCCUCGAUGAGUAUUUGAGUUUAAUAAAAUAAAUUAGAUUUAUAUUGAAAAGUUUAUAUAUUAAAAAAUAUAAAUUAAAAAUUUCUAAUUAAGAAAUGAAUAACUCUAUACUCAAGAACUCUCUAUAAAAUAAAUAAAAUAAUACUUAUAACUCCGUCGUGUAUCUUGGUGGAUAAGCAGCUGGAGUUAAGUUCUGAAAAACAAAUGAGGACAGAUAGCAAUUAAGAGAGGAGAAGGUAGGUGACCUAAAUUUUAAUUGUCAUAUGAGUGUGUAAUAGGCACAGCUAAAUGGGUGCCUAAAUUACAACGUGUCAGUGUGUAACAGCAUUUUAAAAAAGACAAGAUAAUAAUAAUUAAUAUAAUAAAGUUAUAAUUUAAUUUUUAUUAAAUAUGAUUUCAAAAAAGAAUGAAUUAAAAUUUAGAAUUUUUUAAAAAGUUUAAAUGAGAGUAUAAUAGGUAAACAAAAUUUAUUCUUUCUUGAUUUGUCAAAAUGGACAAGUAAAUAAGGACAUCUAAAAGAGAAAAUAUCGACAAGUAAAUAGGGGCAGAGGGAGUAAUAAAUAGGGAAAAGACACAGAUUCCCUGUUAAACUUAUCUCGAAAAGUCAGAUACACGCUUAGAAUAUCGUGAUGACUUAUUAUACAUCUGAACUUGUUUAAAGUGAUAUUAAUGACCCCUUCCAAAGACAAUCCCAAUUUUUGUGUGAGAAAAUGUUAUACACACGUUUUAAUGAUGUAAAUAAUAUUUUUUUAUAUCUUUCUUUUAACCUUUUCCCUUAAUAUUUUCUCACACUUCCCAACAUAGUUGUUUCUACUAUUUGUGUUUUUCCUCCCCUCUCCGUCCUUUUACUUUUUUAAAUUCAUUUCUUCUUCGUUCUUCAUAAACUGAAGCAAAAAGAGAGAAAAUAAGACUAAAAUAGUAAGAAGAUUAUCAAGAAGGAGAUGAUGACAGAUAGGCGGAUGCAACACCAUUGUUGUCGGUGAAAUAAAAAAACUCACAGAUCUAUAAAAUUACUUUCAGAUAUAUAUUUUUCUUUAGAGUUAUUGAUAUUUAUGGAUGCAAAUUAAGCAUUUCAUUUGUAUUUUUUCUGCGUAGUAAAUAAUCAAAUAUGCUAUUGAUGACGAAUUGAGACAAAAUAACAUUGUGAUUGGUGAUAAGAAUAGUGAAGACAAACAUCAAGUAAUCAUUUUCUUCAAUGGAUUUUGAAAAAUUUAGGUAAAUAUAAUCAUGAAUUUGAUGAAUAAAUAAUCAUAUUGUAUUUUCAAUAAAAGUCAUUAUCUCUCUAAUGAUUUUUUUUUCAAUAAUCUUUUUUAGUGGAUGCUCAAAUGAGUUUGAGCAUGAAGAUUAUAAAGUUAAUUGAAUUGAGACACUAUUGAAAAUCAUCUUCUUUUGCACUCCUUUCUAGUUUUUAAGAGUUUUUCCGUAAGAGUUUGAAUAUAUGUCCAUAGGUAUGAGGCUAAUGGACAAUAAUUAAUGGUAAUAAAGUUAUAAAGAACUGUUGAAGAAAAAGAUGUCAAAACAAAAAAAAAAUGCGAAAACAUUUUAAAAAAAUUGGGAGCACAAAUAAAAAAAAUAUAAUUAAUAUAUUAGAAAUUAUAAUACUUUAUUAUAUAAUGAUCAAUAAGAUAGUGCCACAUGUUUAAAUUUGUCAUUUUAACAUUUUUUUUCUUCUUCUCACGCACCUAAAGGAAGGUGAAAAUAUUUUCUCUGCCAUGUCACUCUAAUUAAGUUCAGGUGUGUAAUAGAUCAUCUGAAUAGUUAAAAUGUUCUAACUGACUGUUCGACACAAGUUUAAGGGGGAAUCUAUGUCUUUUCCUAAUAAAUAUUAUUUCUAUUAUUAUUUAUAUGUCAAAUUUGAUUUUUAUCGGAUUGAAAAUUGCUGGUAUAAGAUAGUGUUUUAUUUGAAAUUUAAAUUUAAUUGAUUCCUAAUAAAAAUAGCUGGAUAUUGCCGAUGAAAAUCGAAAAAAAAAAAAAAUAUUCGAUACAAAAUAGUUUAAAGGUGAAAUUGGCUCUCAUUCUCUCUUGUUUUGGAACCAGUGACGCCAUAAUUUUAUAUCAGUGAAUUCUAAAUUUUGAAAAAGAAUAACGAUCAAAGGGUGCGCAAUGACCACUGAGCCAAACGCUUCACUAUUAUCAUUGGUUCGCAAGAAAUAUAUAUACAUUCUACCUCAUAAUUUAUUACCAAUAUGAAAUUUACAAAAAAAUCAGUGAAUUCAGCUAAACCCCCCUCGGCUACUGUAGUUACGCCCCUUUUUUGAAACAAUCAUUAGAAGAAAGGAAUUUUUGUUCAUUUCGUUAGUUAGAGAAUACUAUUUUAAGCCAAAAUAUAAUAACAAGGACAUUUUGACCCAAAAUAUAUAUAUUUAGAGGUAAAUUCGAUAUAUUUUUAAUAGUUUAAGUCUCCAAAAACUUUCUUACUUUUUUUCACAACAAUAAAUAAUCAUCAUGAAAGAUUUCUCAGGCAUAUAAUUAGUUCUUCUUUGGAUUUUUAGUCUUUGCACCCUCAUGUUCAAAUUAAAAAAUUAUUCAAUUAGACCAUAGAUUACAAAAUUUUAAUCACUAUUUCUCAAAAUAAUCCAGUAACAAAGACCAUUACAAGAAUAGAGCGUCCUAAAUACUCAACUCGCUUCCUAAUGAACUUUCUCAUCGUUAGCUUUAAAUUCUUCUAAACAUAUCGACUUAAAUAAAAAAUAAAAUAAAAAAAAUUAUAUUUUAGAUAUAAUCAAGAAAAAAUAGAAAAAUAAUUUUUAUAAACAGAAGUAUCAGUAUCGAAAUUAAAUGGAUCUAUAUACUUCAAUUUUUGUGUGUGCUAAAAACCUAACCACGACAAUGCUAAUUAGGGGUGCUUACAAUUAAUUUUUGAUCCUUUUUAUUUAAAAAAACAAACACGUUUUAAAAAUUACAUAGAUAAAUAAAAAAAUUAACCUAUAUAGCCAUCUUAAAUAAACAAAAAGGAUAAUCAAUAAACAUACAAUACAAUUUUUUUUCCUGUACCAAUUUGAAUUAUUCCGAAUGAGACAUAAAAUCAUUAAAAAUUAAAAUUAUGUCCAAACGAAAUAUUACGAUACUAAAAUAUAAAUUCAUAUCCCGCAAAAGGGCUAAAAGUGCAAAUGACUCCAACGGGUCAAAAGCCCAACAAACAAAGAAGUAGAGCAACAAUGUCUUGUUAAUCAAGUUUAAAAACAAAAGAAGAAGAAGAAGAAGGAAUAAUCUUCAGUUCAAACAAAAUCUGAACAAAGGGUUUUUGGAUCUGUAGCAAAAUUUCAACAAAGAUGUUUCUUACAAGGUAAAAUUUGCAUUUGUUUGGUGCUUAAUCUACUUUUUUUUUGUUCAAUGAAAUCGGAAUUGAAUGAUUUUGUUUUCUUCCUGUAUUUUGGAAAUUGGGUAUGAAGAACUGAGUAUGAUAGAGGUGUUAACACUUUCUCGCCUGAAGGACGAUUGUUUCAAGUUGAAUAUGCUAUUGAAGCUAUCAAGGUAAAUUCUUUGAUUUUUGCUUCCUGUGUGAAUUUUUUUUUGGGGGACUGAAAAUAGCUGAUGGGUGUUUUUUUUUUUUGGUUUUAUGGUUUUGAAAUUACGAUUUUUUGAAGUUGGGUUCAACUGCAAUUGGAUUGAAGACUAAGGAAGGAGUUGUUCUUGCUGUGGAGAAGCGCAUUACUUCACCACUUCUGGUUUGUAACACUUGUUUCCGAUGUUUUUUUGUUACUUCUGUAUGGUUUACUGAUUAUGUUCAUGGGUUAUGGUUGGAUGGUAAGUUCAAUUUUUCAGCAAUAACAUCUAUAAGAAAUGCUGGUAGAGCUUCACCGAUGUAAAUUGAAGUAUGAAUUUUGUGGGGCAGAGGAUUGGGGAAAUGAUUGCUAAUUGUUGGAAUCUUGUAAUUUUGUGAAAGGAGUUCUUCCCCCUCCGCAACACAACUCAACUUGUACAUGUCUCUGCGUUUAACUAUGUGGCUGCUCAUUUUCCUUUGAAAUUUUCUUAAUUGACAUUGACAUCGACAUUGGAAGCAGUGGGUUUUUUCUAAAUUAAAUUGUAAAAACAUUGAAUGGUCACUUUAUGAGGAAACAAUGGAGCAUGUCUGAAUAUGGUUGGAGUUGUGGUUCAUAUGAAGAAUGUUGGGGCGUUAACCUUAAUUUCCUCUAACUCGAUUAAUGAAAGUUACAACUUCACUGAUGGGAAAAAGUAAAACCCUUUUUGCCUCUCAAAAGGCAAUGCCAACCCUAUAUGUCUGUAUUCUGAAGUCUCUUUUCUAGUGUCACCAUAUCAUUGGAGCCUGAACGUACUUGAUUUUAGAAAAAUCAUUUGUGCUAACUAUUAGUUGACACUGUUUGGUGCUUAGUAUAUCAUUGGUAAUACCUACAUUUUAACAGUUAAACUUGGUGGUCUCUUUUGGGGCAUCUGAUGAAAUUGAAAUGAAACAGUUAAACUUGGUGGCAGAGAUAUCCAUAGUAGGCUACACGGCUUAUAGAUCAAGAAUUAGAAAAGCUACAGACCUAUUUCCCUUUAAUUGGUUGCUUGGCUAUCACUCUAUUUUGUGUACUCAGUUGGUUCAUCUAAAUAAUAGAGAACAUGCUAUACGCUCGCCUCAUAACUUCAGUUUAUUUUCUGUAUUAUUCAUUCAUGACACCGUUUUGAUAUUCUUUUAGGAGCCAAGCAGUGUGGAGAAAAUUAUGGAAAUCGACGAGCAUAUUGGCUGUGCAAUGAGUGGAUUGAUAGCUGAUGCACGAACACUUGUGGAACAUGCACGGGUUGAAACUCAGGUAUUUAGGAUAACAUCUCCAACCUUCAAGUAUUUGUGUGAUAGUGGUAAAUUGCUGAUUUUGUGGUGUUGUUUUGUCCUCUCUUCCCCUUUCAACAGAACCAUAGAUUCUCUUAUGGCGAGCCCAUGACUGUUGAGUCCACUACCCAAGCUCUCUGUGAUUUGGCGUUGCGAUUUGGUGAGGGCGAUGAAGAAUCUAUGGUGAGAUUCGUUUUACUUUAGUAUAGUACUGUUUGUUUCUCUAUGAACAACUAUCUUUCUGUGAAAAAUUAGUGGUGCCUUAUUUUGUAGAAAGCAUCUUUUCCAUUUUCCAAUAUUAUCUUUUGCUGUCCCUUGUUAUUUUGACUAAAAAGUAUUAGUUGGAACUAAACAGAUGACUUUAUAUGAAGUGGAAUUUAGAUUUUAAGCUAGUUAUGUUAAUUUCAUCAAGUGAAUAAGUAAAAUAAAUAUAAACCAGCAACUACUUCAUGUGACAUAAGGUGAAAAUAAAUAUAAUUAGUGAUAGGUCCUUGUUCCCUUCGCUUUAUGUUUCACUAAAGGACUUGUGCAUGUAUCAAGUGCUCUCGAACAUUGCCUAUGCUGACUUUAGAAUGAAAAGGUAACGGGUCACUACAUUUAUCUCCUCCCCCCUCCAAAAAAGAGAUCAGUGAUCAGCAUGAAGAUUUUUAGGCAGUGAUCAUCUCUGUAUGUGUCUGUUUCUCAAUUUGUAGUUGUAUUUCAAAUGCUCUUGCAUAUGCCAGCUGGGUAGUGAUAGAUCUAGAGGCUGGCUGUUGAGUCUGAGAUCCUCUUAGAUGCUAGGACCUAGGAUCAUAGUUUAUCAGCUAUAUAAGUGCAUUUGCUCUUCUCUUUACAUUCUAUAUUCUAUGGAAAAAUGAUGCAUGAUACUCAUGAACUUUGUUUGUAAAGAACUCAUGAAGUUAGAGUGGUGAUUCUAUAUGGUGUAAGCUGGACUGCUGGACAAAAGAUAUGCUUAGCCUGUCUGGUUAUCUUGGACAAAAGGAAAGGGGAGAACGGAAGAUGGCAAAGGGUUAAUUAUGAUUUAACUAGUUAAUUAAGUUGUUUAUGGAAUUACCUGGUUAAUCAUGAUCAUAUUCUGUGGUGUGCAUUUUGCUCUACUGACUGUCUUGUGCUGAUCUAGUUUCUUCAUUUCCUUUUUGUUUUAUUUGAUAACAUAUUCUAAUAAGUUGGAUGUCUGGAGAUUAUCAGUGUUGUUGAUGAAGUUUGUCAGAAGAAAUAGACAUUCUUCCGUAGUUUCUACAGUUGACUUACUCAUCAGCAGGAUUAGAUUUUCCCUUAUUGUAUGUUUUGAGUAUUGUAAGGUCAGAUCUCUUACCUUUAUGUAUUAAUGGUCUAUCUCGUUUGUUUUAUGCAGUCCAGGCCUUUUGGUGUGUCCCUUCUCAUUGCUGGUCAUGAUGAGAAUGGUCCCAGCUUGUAAGUCUUUGCACCUCUUCUACGCUAGUAUUGGAAACUAUGAUAUUUUCUUUUCAAUAUUUUCUUCUCUUGGUAUUGAAUCAAGUCUGAUAGAGCUGCCGGAAUGUUAUCUUUCAGAGAACUUCCUUCUUCUCCCAAAUUUCUUUCGAAUACUACUUUGACUUUGGCUAAGUUGGACUUAUGCAUAUUGGAUCUCGAGAAAACGAUGUACAAUAUUUGACUAGAUAUUCCACUGCAUCUCAGAUGCAUUAAUACUAAAUCUCAUGGGAAAAAACCUUUACACUUUUUUAGACAACUCCUUUCCACUUAUAUGACCAUGUUUUUUAUAAAUCUCAUCAAAUCACUCUAAUCUACACAAAUCAUCUUAAUAUAGCAUGGAACAUCACUUCUAAAAUUUUUAUUCUAUUUUUGUUAGAUAAUGAGCUUUUUUUAAUGUAAAUGAAAAAUUCUAUCUCAAUUAGUUGAAAAAUGCUUUCAUAUACAUUGAAUAUUAAGCACUUAAUAUAUUACUCCCUCUAGUUCAUAUUAAGUGAAUUGUUGGGGUAUGACACACACGUUAAGAAAAAUAUACAAGGAUAUAAAAUCAAAGACUAUUUUCCACUAUUACCCUUUUGAUUAUUCCCAAAUUUUUCUCCUAGAAAAUGUGAAGUAGUUACGAACCUCAUUAAAUGAAGGGUAAAUAUAGAAAAAGUCCUAGCAAUUCUCUUGAACUUUGAAUACACUUCAUUUAAUUUGAACUAUGAAAAAGGUACCAACAAUUCACAACAGUCAUUGGUCGUUGCGUAUUGGCCUGAGCUCAACAAGGAUGAUUGUGUAUUAGCCUACCUGUCAUGGUUGUCACAUUUGGUGUCUUAUGUAUUAGGCACUGGUUCACUUAAACCUACCUCUCCAAAAUUACUAAAAUGUUGCUCUAAUAUUAUCUCCUAAUCCCUUGUUAUAGUCUUUUGAGCCAAGGGUCUAUAAGGAAGAGCCUCUCUACCCUCCCCCCCCCCCCACUAAGGUAGGGGUAAGGUCUACAUACAUACUAUCUUCCUAGACCCUACUUGUGGGAUUACAGUGGGGUAUGUUGCUGCUGUUGUUAUUGUUGUUAAUGAAUAUUAAAUACUGAAGAGGUCAAGAGAUCACAUUCCUGGAAAUGAUUCUACCAACUGGCCAUGAUCGAUUGGGCUUUUGUGUGAUGAGCUGCUAAAAUCAGACUUUUGUCUAUAUUCCUAAGAGAAUACUGGAAACAGAAUUUCAUAAGCAUACUGUUAACAUUACAUAGUUUAUUCAAGUGUUCGGCCUCUCAUUACUUACUAACCUGAUUGUGGGUAUUAAGCAACAUAAUUUGUAGAUACUGAAUGUCGCCCAAUUCUGAUGUGCAGGUACUAUACUGAUCCUUCUGGUACAUUCUGGCAAUGCAAUGCUAAAGCUAUUGGGUCAGGUUCUGAAGGUGCUGAUAGCUCUUUGCAGGAGCAGUAUAACAAGGUAUCUAGGUUUUUUUAUUUUUCUAGUGAAACCGUGACCCGUAGUCCUAAUUACAGUCCAGUCUGCAGCAGGCUGGAGGUAAUGUUGCUAGUGGAAGAUGUAAUAAUAGGUCCUGUUCCUUUUUUUAUUCACCCUCAUUUCAACUGUUUGGAUGCUUGAAUGCUGGUGAACUUCAUGAGUUCCGCAUAAAGUAUCUUGGUGGAAGCCGAGAAGUAGAGGAGGAUUCCCCUCCUUGUAUUUUUGCCCUAAAUAGCUCAGCUCAAACAUGCUGUCCAACCUUAUUAGUCCGAGUAGCUAGUUUGGUUGGUGAUGCGGUCACCCACUUGUACGUUUUCAAAUAAGCAUGCUAGCCUUCACACCUCCGAAAUUAGAUGUUUGUGGAACAAGUAUUCAAGAAAUCUCGUGUUCUAUCUUCGUAACUGUUGUCCAGUCUGCAGCAGCUUGGGGUUGUUUGAUGCUUUCCGUUGCCUAUUCAACCCCUAAGACCAUUCCCCUCUUCUCUUCCUCCAAUAGAGGGAAUUAAAUCAGUCACUUUUCACUCAUAACAUUAAAAUUGUAGGUGACUAUUUUUGUAACCGAAAAGCUGGAGUUUAGUUUUCAUAUGGUUCUUAAAGUUGAUCUAAAGUCGAUUAUCUCCUUUCUGCAGGACCUUACCCUUAAAGAGGCUGAAACCAUAGCACUGUCCAUUCUCAAGCAAGUGAUGGAAGAGAAGGUAAGCAAUAAGCCUCAUGACACUUGUAUUUUCAUGAUUUCGUUCCUUGUUUCUGAGAAAGCUCCCCCUAUUUGAUUCAGGUGACUCCCAAUAAUGUUGAUAUUGCGAGGGUAUCUCCAACUUACCAUCUAUACUCACCAUCGGAGGUGGAAGAGGUUAUCAGCCGCCUAUAAGAAAGCAUGUGAUCACGCUCGUUAUGAUAUUUUUCUUGUAUGACAAAAACACUUUCUUGUUGCUGCAGCCCUGGAGCCUGGAGGUCAUUGGAUUGUUUUUUCCUUCUUCCAAGGCUAGGAAUUGAUUCAGACAAGUGUUUUCUGUAUGUUCAUUACAUUAUUUGCUUCAAGGAUUUAAGUCCAUCUAUAUCUCUUGCUGCUUUAUGAGUUGGGAUUUGUUCUGAAAAUAGGAGUUUUAAAGUGUUUUGAAAGCAAGAGGCAAGUACGAUACUGUGUAGGAUUAUAUAAAUAGGGGUUUACAUUUUCUUGAAUGAAAUAUUUCCAAUGUAUCUUAGUUUAAUUGGAUACGGAAUUUAAAAAGUAAUGAACUUGCGAUUUUUUAAACAUAAUAUGCAACAUUUUGAAAUUAAAGAAUUCUUAGUUAGUUAUAAAUUGAUUCAAUGAUUAAUAAGUAUGCAGUUAUUUUAAUCAAAAAUUUGACAAUAAUUAAUAACAGAGAAAAUAAAAAAUUAGAUUUAAUUUAUCUUUUAAUCUACUUUCUUUGGGGUUUAUUCCUCAUGAACAAAUAGUAGUACAAACGAGAAAAAUUGAACAUAUAAUAUUGUCGCAAAUGAAAGAAAAUCGAAGUAACAUGAGAAAUUUAUUUGAUAGAGUGUAUAAGAAAUAAUAGUAUGUUUUUUUGAAAUACUUUUUCAAACCCAAGAUGCAUGGCUUUGUCCCAUCAAUGUUUGAUGGCUAGAGGACCAAAAAUAAAAAAUAAUUAAUACAUGAAAAUUUAUGAUAUUAGUAAUGCACUCAGUUUUAACACAUGUAUUAAAAUGAUUAAAAAUACAACUGUCCCUCAAAACUGUUUUUACAUCAUUUCCACCAUAUUUGUGGAGUUUUCUUUUAGAAAUUAUGACAUAGAUAUUAUUUUUAAUAUACCAAAUCAAAUAAGAUAUAAAAAAUAAUCUCUAUAUAAUUAAUUGUACGUACAUUAUUAAUACACCUUAUUCAACAUUAUUCUUCGUAAUAUUUAAUACCUCUGCCAACAAAACAAUUUAUGAGUUAUUAACUCAGAAUUCGAUACACAUAAGGGUGAAAAUAAAUUUGGUCAAAUAUGAAUUUAAUAAAAUUGUAUUAACUCAUAUUUACCCCUCUUCAUUUAUUAAAUUGUAUUAACUCAUAUUUACCCCUCUUCAUUGUUAUCUUGAGUUUUCUCUAUAAACACAGAGAAAUUUUUCUCUUAUCGUUCUUGUUGUUUCAUCAAUCUUCAUAACCAAGUCAAUGUUGAAAAUUAUGUCAGAUGAAUAUGCAUAUGAUGGUUGUUGUCUAUAUUAUUGUAUAGUUAGUUUAAGUAUAAUAUUUAUUUUAAUGGUCAUUUAGAUUUUAUUAUAUCGUAUUUAGGUAAAUAUGAUAUGGUGUGAUUAUGUGUUACCUUAUUAUUUUCUUUUUAUUUUGUCUUUAUGUAAUAGUUUAAAAAUUCUAUUUUAUCAUUUACUCUAUCUUUCAUAGUACUUGUACAUCGUUUUCUAAUUUUCCUGUAGGUUUAUCAUUCGAAUUAUGAAAGUGUGAUAUUAGAAACAACGUAAUAUAAUACAACCUAUCCAAAUAUUAUAUUUAUUUAAAAUGUACGAUACAAAUAUAUAAUAUGAUAUGAUCGAUUGUGAAAUAAUAAUGAAAUAACUCAACUUUCUUUGGAUCGAAUGUUAUAUCAAUUGAAAUUAACCAUGUACCUAGUCUGAUUCAUGAUUUGCCGGAUAUUAAGCAUGACCAAUGUAACAUCGAAUUUCAUAACAUGGUAACAGAAUACUAAAAGAAAAGAAAAGAGUCGUAUGAAAUGUACAAAACAUACAAUUUUGAUUUAAAAUUACAAAAAAUGAACUUUCAUGAAAUAAGGAUAAGAGAUAAUGCUUUCCCACGAAUGACAAACACUGUUGAAUUUGGAAAUAACCCUUGUUGAAAUCCGAGAGAAAAUAACAUAUAUCUUUUGAAAUACAUGAUAGUUAAUUAUAAUUUUAUUAUUGAUUUUCUUUUUCUUCAAUGAGGAGUAUAACUUUUCUCGUAAUAAUUUGUAAGUCAUGACAUCUGUAUAUAUAAAUUAAUUUACGUUAUAUAACACCAAAAAUAUUGAUAUCUUACGUAAGCUCUUAUUGAUUUUAGUUUUGAAAACAUUUUCAAUCGACUCAAUUAUUACAUAAACUAUCACAAUUAUUAUUAAAAUAAUAGAAGUAUUCAAAUGAGUAUAUCAAUUAAAGUAUCAUUAUUAGUUAUACUAGACACAUGCGUCUGUGCUAGUAAAGGUUCAAUAUCUAUUUUUUAUCUCAUUUUAUGUGACACGGAUAAAAUUUAGCGAGUUAAUUAAAUUUUAAUAUGUUUUUUAAAUAUUUUAAGUAGUUAAUGAUGUAUUUAUAUAACCUUUACGUACUUUAAACAAUAUAUAUUACUUUUGUUGUCUCAAUAUAUAUAUGUAGCACAAAUAGAAUUUCAAGAGUCAACAUGUUAUUAAUUAUAGUGUGGAACCACACAUGUGAAGCAAACAUGUUGAUCGAUUCCUGCGUGGUUCAGAUGAAAUAACUAAAAUAUGAAUAAGAAAUAUUUACGUAAUUUGAAAUGUCAAAAACCUCAAAUCAAUAAAUAAGAUGAAAUUAAUUAAAGACCUCUACUAAGUAAAACAGAAAUUAUCAAGCUGAAAAUCACGUAAAUCAGUUAGUAGAUAUAUAGGUCUUUAAUUAUCAAAAAUACUAUGAUUUAUGGCGGGGGGGGGGGGGAGCUGAAAUUAAAAUAGAAAAACAAAAUGAAAUGUUGGCAAGGUUUGAACCUUGGUUGAAUUUUUAAUCAAACUAAGUCAUUAUAUAAAACAAUUUACCAAAGUAAUACAUUUUUCUAAAAUUUUACAAAACUAGUAUAAACGUAUUUCAUGGUAACGUUUUAGGGUAUAUUUUAUUUUUUAAAAACUAACAGCAUUAGGUUGAUAUACGUCACUGUAAGUAACGUUUUACUUUUAAAAUGUUAUUUUCAGUAACGUUUUACUCCUAAAACGUUAGGAGUAAAAUGUUACUGUGAGUAACGUAUAUCAAUCUGACGCCAUCAACUUUUAAAAAAUAAAAUCUAUCCUAAAACGUUACUGUAGAAUACGUUUAUACUAGUUUUGUAAAAUUUUAGAAAAACAUAUUAUUUUGAUAUAUAAUGACUUAGUUUGGUCAAAACCUCGAAUUGUCAAGCCUAAACCAAUAGACCAAACAACUGAUUAUGUAAAUAAGCACAUAGUUGAAGCAGACAUUUUGACCCUCAGUUGUGUGCGUAUUGACACUUAUAUAUAAGUAGUAGAUAAACCUCUAGCAAUGACCACCAACUACCACCAGUGGCGGAGCCACCAUAUCUUUAGGGGUUCGAACUUCCUUCGGCGGAAAAUUAUAUUAUUUUCAUAUGGUUAAAAUAAUUUUUUAGAUAUACAUAGUCAAUAUCGAACCCCUUUCGACUAUUUCGAGCAUCUAUUUUUUCAAAUUUUGGACUCUCUUAUCAAAAAUUCUGACUCUGCUUCUAACUACCAGGACAAGAAGCAAGACAAACAACUUAUAAAAACUCGAACUAACUAAUAUGUUCAUAGUCCAAUCAUAAAAUUAAAAAAUGAUUGUAACAAAUAUAAUUCACACAAAUGAAGCAGGAAACGAAUACUAGUAUUUUUCCUUUUAAUAGAUAGGUCGUAUUAAAAGUUAUAUCAUAAAGUGUUACAUUAAUUUCGCAUCUAAUAGCCAUGAAUGUUCCACGGAAUGUUAACAUUACCACGAGCCUAAAGUUGUCAAAUUGUACUAUUAUGCUUCUCUCCCAUAUACCUAUACAUAUAUUAUUUCGACUGUCAGUUCGAUAUUAGAUAAAUAUCUUACUUAAAAAUAGUUAUUUUAUAUUUAAAUUAAAAUAGAAUUAAUGAAAAUUUUUUAAAUUAAUUUAUUAAUAAUUUUUUUAAAAUUAUCAGUAUAAAAUAGAAAAUGUUCAUCUAAUACGAGUCUCUGUGUAAUUCCAUUUAAUUGUAACGAAUGAAUAUCUACUCUUCCCAAAAAGGCAUUUGUUAUAUAUAUAUAUAUAAGUCAAACAAGAUAAUCAAUUAAUCCGCCCUUCUUUUUCUCUCUCAAUCCAUUAAUUCCAAAUUAGAAUUCUCUUUAAAAUGUAUAUGAAUAAUAUCAAGAAAAAGAAUCUUCUUCUAAUUUUCGUCUUCUUUUAUUACCUCUCUUCAACUUGUUCAAAAGAAUUUGAGUAUUCCAACAAUCUUGGAUCAGAAGCUCCAUCAUCUUUACAUGAUCAUGAUCAUAACAUGAUCAAGAAUCAAGGAGGGUUGAUGAAUACAAAUACGAAAGCGAAUACGAAGAAGAUGAAGAUGAAUACAAGAACAUUAAAGUUGAAGAGUAGGGGAAAAAGUUCAUCAGAUAGAAAAAGUACGUAUAGAGCAAUGCUUCCAAAAGGUUUUGUGCCUCCUUCAGGAUCUUCACCAUGUCAUAACACUUACCCUAAUUCUGUUACAUUUUUUUGUCAUUUUUCUAUUAGGCCUAAUAAUAAAUUACCCUACACACCAUAGAUCAACUAAAAAUUGUAUAGAGUAACAUGAUUCCAAUUAAUAUUUCAUAUGAUGAAUUUCUUGAUCAUCAAAUAUAUAAAACGAUAUAUAUUGAGUUUCUUCUUGUUAUCGUCUAUAUUAUUUUGUUAUAAUGACAUACACAAGUUCUCUUCAUAUAAUUUUUAGCUACUAUUUUGUGAUUUUUUGCCAUGGUGUUGAAUCAAUGACUAGUAUAUAUCUUUCUUUUUUUGUAUUAUUAUUGAAGUGAUUCUAUUUUCUUUUCUUUCUAAAUUGAUUGGAUGGUUGUUGCAUUGUAUUGUUUGUUUAAAUAACUAUGACGUGUUAGUUUUGAUUGUUGUUUAAAUUUUAUCGUAGUCUGUCAUUUUAAUCCAUCGUUAGGUAAUAACGAUAAGUCCAUUUUGUGUAGCAAUUAUUUUGGUGUGAUCGCAUUGCAUUACCUUUUUUUUUCAUCUUCUCAAUUUAUCUUCUUAAUCCUAUUUUAUUCUUUAUACCAUAUUUUUAAUAGAUCUAUCUCGUACCUUUUUUUCUUAUAAGAUUAUAUUUUAAAAUGCUCAUAUGUGUGACAUUAUGUGAUGAGGAAAAAUGAUCUAUUCAAAUGUUGUAUUGAUCAACACUUGACGAUACGGUGCAUUAUGAAACGAUAUAUAAAGAAAAACAACGCAAACAAAGAGUAAGUGAAGUCAAUAAUUAAUACUCUUAACAGUAUUGAGUGGUCAAUGAAGUAUAAUGAAUACUGUAAAAUGAAAAAAAAUUAUAAUAACAAGCAGCAAUUUUCUCUGCAAUUCUCAAGUAAAAUUAUAUACUUUUAACUAAGUUUUUUGAAGAGUUUUACUGAAUUUAAUUGAGAAAUGUUGUAUUCAUCAGAAUACUACAUUAAAAAUAAUAUUAAGAGUAACUUAGUAACUUAGACUAGAUACAUGCCUUGAUUAUGGAUAAAUAUAUACAAAUAUUUUUACGAUGGAGUAAUAUUUUAUUACUUACGUAUCAACCCGAAAAAUAAAUAAAAAUAAAAAUCAAACCAUUUAUUUUUUUAGAAAAUAUUUUCAAUACACCUAAGUUUUUGAAUAUUUUAUCAUUUUGAACAAUCGAUCACCAACAAAAGUUCAAACUUAUUCUAUUGUUGCACGUGAGAAAGAUAUGAUUUUAAGAAAGAUGUCUGCUGUGUAUUUUGACUUGUAAGUAUGUUUCGUGUAGCUGUUAAUUUCUUGUUUGACUAUAUAGAGUUGAAUAGAGUAGUACUAUAAAAUUAAGUCAAUUGUCUAAAUUUUCGGUACUUGAAGUCUACAUUAGAGUUUCGACGAAAUCUGAAUCGCACAAUGCAACUCUUGACGCUCCAUAGAGAAAUUGAACAAGUGGUGAUGAAAAUGUAAGAGAAGGAAAUGAAUAUAUAUAUAUAUAUAUAUAACAAAAUUUUCUCUAUAUAUACUCAGGGUUCGAUGAAACAGUCUCACCACUACACCAUAGAGAAACUGAACAAGUUAUGAUGAAAAUAUAAGAGAAGGAAAUGAGCGUGUAUAUAUAUAUAUAUAUAAUAAAAUUUUCUCUAUACUCAGAAUUGAACUCGAUGAAACAAGUGUAUCAGAAAUGUCAAUUGUCCAUAUGAUAGGGCAUGAAAUGGGAAGAAAAAGCAUAUGGAAAUUCCACCAUUUGAGGGAAGUUGCUUGCCUCAUGGGGUUAAAAACAAAGUUUCUUACUUUCCGUUUACUCCAUGCACAUUCAUCAUGCGUCCUAAUUAACUCCAAAACUCCUAACUCUUCUCUCGAUAGGUUACACAAUUCUAUACAUAUAAUUACUACUUAUAAAUACUACUAGUACCAAAAUUCUACUAUAUCAAAUCUAGUAGUUUAAUGCAUUUAUAUCACGCACCUUCUAUAAUUGUAGUUUCACCUAAUAUGUUCGUAGAUGUUGAAAUUUUAUGGGACUAUACAAGACGUGUUCAAUUCGAAUUGAGACUCUAGAAAGUGUAGAAUUCUUGGAGGCUAUUCAACCUUAAACCCUAAUUCAUGCCUAUAUAAAGGGUACUAUACAUACGAAGGCGUUGGUCCAUCGGUGCCUUAGGGGAAAUCAUCUGCUUGCUCGGUCACUUUCGUGAUAAAAUUUUGCAUCUCGAAAUUUUUUAUAAAGAGAUCAAAAUGUUAAAUAUCUCAAAAUAUCCCAUAAUAUUAUGUUUAAAGAUCAAGAUCUCGAAUAUUUCAAAAAUCGAUGGAAUAUCAAUGUAGAUCAAAUCUAAAUCAUUACAGAUGAAUCUGAUGGGAAGAGAACAAAAUUGUACCCGCAAUAUUGAUGAAUUAAAUUACAUGUUUCUUCUUAUUUUAUUGUGAUUGUAAUUUAUUUUUUGUCGCUUUAAAAUUUAGUAUAAACAACGCCACAUACAAGAUUAAUAAGUACUCACACGGUUAAGAGUAUAUGUAGUGGUGAAGGUAGUUGCUAAGAAUACUAUUAAGUGGUAAUUCAGUGUUAUACGUUUAACAUAAUUUUUCGAUGAAGGGGUUCAGCUAUAUCUUUUCUUUUCCGAUCCGUUGAUAAUUGUGGUCCUUCUUUUGGUAUGUGUUUUUAGUAUAACAUCGCGAGUAAUAACUUAGGUAGGAAAAGGAGAUAUCAAAUAAUGCAUUGUUGAGUUAUGAAAUUUAUAAAAUAAUAGUUAAGAUGUGUUUUUAAUCGUUAAUGAUUCGAUUGAAGUUCUCUAGUAACGUGAUAUUUUUAAAAAGGCAUAUAUUUUUUUUUCCUUUUUAAUGAAUAAACAGUACUUCUGAAUUUUGAUUGUUGAUUACUUCCUAUUCUUCCCACUAAAUUUUCUCUUUUUUCAAAUUAUAGAAUUGAAAUAGCUGCAUGGCAAUUUCUUUUUGUGUAUAAUCGCCCACAAUUAAAGUUACGUAGAAUUAGAUAUUGUAUUUAAUCAGAUUAUGUAAAUCGUUUUUUGUUGAAUCUAUUAAUGUAUAUUAUUUCGAGUCGAAAAAAUAACAAAGAAAAAAUCUGAUGGAAUGGAAUUGUUAUUUCACCCAAAUAAGAAAAUAACAAGUAAUACAUAAUAUUCUUUUAAAAAAGGAAAAAAACUUAUUUUCGAAGAUAUAAAAUGUGCCACAAAGGUAGGUGAAGGAGUAUAUUUAGCAAAAUAGGCUGAUGAAAGUAUUUUAACCAUGUUUGGACUUAAUUAAAGCGUACAUUGGAUGGGGCUUUGGCCCAACUGAUCUCCGCACACGCGCACGCAUAUAUAUAUAUAUAUAUAUAUGUAUAUAUAUAUAUAUAUAUUUUCACAUAUAGCCACUAAAAAAAAUAGCCUAAUUAUUUUCUAUAGCUAUAGUUUAUUAAUUAUAAUUCGUAGCUACAUGUUAUGCGGAGGAGAGAGGUGAAUUGUAUAUGUAUAUUACUUAGAUAAUUGUAUAUUAUAUAGUAUUUGUAUAUAAGACAAGCGAGAUUGGGAGAGGGAGGAAAGAGGAGAGCGAGUUUUGGAGAGGAAGGAGAGAGACAAGCGAGAUUUGGAGAGAGAGAAGAGAGGCGAGCGAGAUUGGGAGAGAGAGAAGAGAGGCGAGAGAGAUUGGGAGAGGGAGGAUAGAGGCGAGCGAGAUUGGGAUAGGGAGGAGAGAGGCGAGAGAGAGGGAAGAGAGUGGGAGAGAGGUGAAUUGUAUAGGUAUAUUAGUUAGAUAAUUGUAUAUUAUACAUAUGCAUUUGUAUAAAAAGCAAGUAGAUAGGGAAAGAGAGGAGAGAGGCGAGCGAGAUUUAGAGAGGGAGGAGAGAGGAGAGCGAGAGAGGUUAGAGAGUGAGGAGAGAGGCGAGCGAGAGAGGUUAGAGAGUGAGAGAGAGGUGAAUUAUAUAUGUAUAUCGAUUAAAUUAUGUAUAUUAUACAUAUGUAUUUGUAUAUUCUAGCGAAUUAUACAAAUACAAAUGUGGCUAAUUAUACAAACUCGAAGUUAGCCCACUAAAUUAAUGUAUAAUGUUAGUAGUAAAUGAUAAUUAUAGCAAACAAUAGCUAUAAUAAGUAAUUGAGUAGUAUAAAUUUGCUUAAAUGGUAAAAUAACAAAACUAAUCUUCUUAAUAGUAAGAACAUGUUUUAUUUUGUCUAAACAUUAAUAAAAAGAUUUAAAUCAUACAUUAUAAAUUUAUAAUACUAAUUUGACAUACUGGUUUGUAUAUAACUAUUUUUUACAUUAAUCUAUAUAUAUAACUUACUUCCAACCCAAAUACCACCUAAAUCAUACUUGAAUUUAUUUAUUAUUUUGCAUUGUAUCAAAAAUAUUAUUACAUAUAUAAUCGAUACAAGGAUUAGGUUAUUGAAAAACAAAAUGUUGCGAGAAUAAGUAACUUUUUUAUACAAAAGUAAUUUCCUUAUUGUUAAUUUAAUGAAAAUUUGAAAAAUAACAAAUAUAAUACAUAAUAAAGCUCUAUAAUUAUCAAUAUGGGUAUGCUUCACCCUUAAUAAGAGGUAUCGGGUUCAAGUCCUGAUAUAAUUUCGUCAAUUGCGCUUUGUAGCUAUCGUUCUGUUUGAUAUAAAGGUCGCAGUGGUAUAUUUCCGUCUAUAUUUCACUUGCGAAGAUACAAAUAUAAUAACUAAUACAAAUUCUGUGUUUAUGCACUUAGGAAUUAUUUAGAAUUCGUUUAUAUAUUUUGCUUGGCUGCAAUCGUAUAUUUCUGAUUGUUUGUUGGCUACAGGUUGUAUAUUUUUGUAUAUUUCACUUGUGAACAUACAAAUAUAAUAAAUGUAUAUAAAUUUUAUAUUUAUGCAUUAAGAAUUAUGCAGAGCUCGUUUAUAUGUUUCGCUUGCUAAUAUACAAAUGUUGUAACUUAUUAGAAAUUUUUUAUAAGUCAUAUAUAAAUAGCUAGAGUAAGCAUAAACAAACCUUUUAAUUAUAUAAUCAAAAAUCGAAUUAUCCAAAUUUUAGACUUAUAAAAAUUAAGCGAAUUAUACAAAUCAGAUUAAUAACAAGAUUGAACGAAACUAUACCUACAAAUUAGAAUUUUCCUAAAUAGUAACUAUAACAUUAGUAAUAUGAUUUAAAUGUUUGUUAUUUCACCCAAUCUUUUAAAUUUAAUAUAUCAUUUAAUAAAUAUGAGUAUAUAUAAUUAUUGUAUGUAUUUAUUGAUUUGACAUAUAUAUUGUAGAAAAUAAAAUUUAACCAUGGUUUAAUUGGACUAAUUUGGUCGUUCCUUCAAAUGCCAUAUCUCAUCACUCUUCCAUCGAUGGUCACCUCCGGAUUCCGGCGACACCCAGUUUAAUAUUCAUCUGGUUCUGUACAAUAAUACACUCCUAUAUACGUGCACGCGCCGCUGUACUAUAGUAGGCAAUACACACGCGUUUACGGCUGCUGUAAGGCAGAGCCAAAUUGAGAAUCUGAAGUUGUUGCUCUUUUGUUUUGUAUCGAGAAUCAGACGAUGUCGAAAUCAUUGCCCUAUUCAAUGAAAGAUGUGCACUACGAUAACGCCAAGUUCAGACAGCGAUCCGUAUCUCAGGUCAGCUAGCUCAAUCAGAAUUCGUUCCUUUGAAUCUUGUUUUUAAUUUUUUUUGAAUUUCGAUCUCUGAACAGAGUAAGGAUUAGUUUAGAAGUGCGCUGAUUUGUUUUCUUCAUAGAACAGCUUGGAAAUAACCUGAUUUGUCUAUUUGCGUAGUUUGAGAGGAGGAAAAGGAGGCUUUUUGGUUAUGAAAUGUCGUUUUGCUAACUGAAAGAUAUGAUCAGAUAACUUUUUUUUUUUUUGUAUUUUUUCUCUGAUGUGAACUGAAGUAUGCCCUGGUGAAAGUGUGGCUAAAAUGGGAAAUAAUGUUCACAAGCCACUCAAUUUGAGAAAGUAAGAGCCAGUUCGGAAUACGAGAAAUAAAAAAAUAUAUGCAAGUCAAACAUGGUUGUUCUUAAACUUGAUUUGGUAUAUAGCUAGCAUUGAGAGCUCCGUGACUGGUCAACCAAUGAUUGAUAGGCCAUUGAUUUGAAUAUUAGAUUGUCUAAUUUUUGAAGGAGUCUCAAGUAAGCUGUUGAGCUAAGUAGUAUACUAUAUUUUUAUAUUAAUGUACCACUUUCCUUUUUGAGCUGAGUUCUCUUUUAAAGCCUUUUAACCAUCGGCACUCUCAUUCUGAAAGUUUUCGUUAUGCCCCUCUUUUUGUGGUUUUGGCGGUGGGGUUCGGGGGGAGGAUUUUAAUAUUUGGACUUGGUAUGCAGUUUGUUACAUGAAAGGGUGCUGCAACAGUGUUGUACUUACACGAAACCACCUUUUUCGAUAUAAUUAACAAGUUUUAUGUUGUGCAUCUUAGUAUCCGGACACCUUUAAAAGCGUUAUUAUCGUCUCAGCCUGUAAAGGCUACAUAAGAAAAAGAGAUAGCCAACUUUGGUUGAAGGUGGUGAUAACUAAAUUUUAGUUUCUAUUUCAAUUAUAAGAUUUGGACCCCAUUGCCAUGGGAUAAAUAUAAGAUAUUACUGCUAACAUAUUUGAGAGAACUAAAUUAAAAACCAAUUAGAGUAGCUAUGGAUAAGACCAUUGUUGUCUCUUACUAAACAUUCCUUUCUUCUCAACCCCAAAGGUUAAUCGGCGAAUCUCUACCCUAAGGAGACAUGAUUCCUUUUGGUUAUUGGUGGAAAGCUGGAGUUUGGCUAAUGAUUAGUGUAUCAUUUAAUUCUUGUGCUUAUUGAUGGUGAACUCGAUCAAUUUUAAGACCUUGAUCAGACCUGGACGAAUUUGUGAUUUGAUUGUAAAACUCUGAUAUUCAGGAAACAUAUGCACAAUACUAAAAAGAAUUAUAAAAGUCCAAAAAAAUUACAUCAAGAGAAGGUACUUCUGUUGGACUCUUGGUAAAGGAUAUGUGAAACCAUUAUUCAAAAGAAGCUUUACCUUUUCAUAAAAAAACAAUUGUACAAAAGAGGGAAUGUGAUAUCAAUAUGCAGAAUUUUCCUGGGAAGGGAUCUUAAUGUUCUAUUCAGCUAUCAGUCUUUUUCUAAAUACUUCUCCGUGCGUCUUCUCUAUUUUAAUAUGUAUUCUCCAUAUUCUUUAGAUGUUUAUUGGAUGAAUGUACAAAAGAGGGAAUGUGAUAUCAAUAUGCAGAAUUUUCCUGGGAAGGGAUCUUAAUGUUCUAUUCAGCUAUCAGUCUUUUUCUAAAUACUUCUCCGUGCGUCUUCUCUAUUUUAAUAUGUAUUCUCCAUAUUCUUUAGAUGUUUAUUGGAUGAAUUUGUUACACUCACUACCCUUGGCAGUGUUCAUGUAAUAGCCUAGUUCACUGAUAGGUUUGGUUAUAUAUUCAUUAAUCAUCUACUUUGCUCCUUAUAAUAACCUUGAGUAACGGAAUUGAGUUUUAAAGAGUUGUCCAGUUUAAUUUCCUUCAGAGCUUAGUUGAUAAUCUAAGACAUGAUCAAAAGAAAGGAGGAAGUUGGAAAUCUCGACUGGAAAGAGUGGUAAUUGCUCACAGCUUUGCGUAGCGAUUUGCUUACAACAGCAUUAACCCCUUUAAUAUGGUCUGAUUUGACUGUUCUAAAGAGUGUGAAAAAGUAUUUCAUUCACAUAUUGAGUUGUUCCUUUCUAAUUAAGUCUGUUGCCAUAUAUCUGAAGUUCAUGAUUCAUGCCACGUAAUAAGCGUCACUAAUAAAGACGAAAUAGGAAAAAUAUAAAAAAUAAUAAUAAAAUAACAUAAAAUUGUGAUAUAAAAAGUGUCAUUUUGCCAUUCAUAUUUGAAUCUCAAAUAAAUUGGAGUUCUGAAGAUUAACUUAAGGAAUCAAUAUGAUGGCAGACAGUUAAAUAUUCUUGAAUAUUUCAAAUGGAAAUUGCACCUCAUAAGUUAGAAAGAGAGCAGUUUUCCAUUUUCUCUCAUAUUAUUGUCAAUUCUGGCAUAUCUUAUAUCAUGAAUUCGAGUAGCUUGGAUUUUUUCAUAGAAAUACGGAGUGCUUUGAUGUAGUCUAAAUAGUAUAUUUGGUGCCUUACAAAAGUUUUCUUUUCUUCUUGGUAUGGGUAGUGUUGAGAAUAUCAUUAACUAAUAAAAGUGUGUUCUCUCUAAUUUUAGAGAGAACACACUUUUAUUAGUUCAUGAUACUCUCAACACACUCCUCACAUGCGGACCUAAUUUUUUUUCCAUGGGUCAAACGUGUGAAAAUUCUUUUUUAAUUUGGGUGUGGAAGAAUCCUUAUAAAGAUUUGGUAAUUCUCCUCCCUUUGAGCUAGCUUUUGGGGUGUGAACUAAGCCUAAUUUAACAUGGUAUGAGGGCCCCCAAAAUCAAAAUUGUUAAUGCACCAAAUGCGAAGCACUGGGCAUGAAGUUGGGUGUUAAAGAAUGACAAAAGUUCCACAUUGGUGGUUAACAAGAUGGGUGGACUCCUAAUAAGGCUUGGGCAAUCCUCUUCCAUUUGAGUUAGCUUUUGAGGUGUGAGUUAGGACCAAGGCCUAACUUAACGGGCAGCAACCUUUAUAUAGUGUACUUAUGGUGCAUCGUUCCAGAGACUACUGAAGUCAUACAUCUCGUAAGGAGAUUGACGGAGCAGUAUAGGGAGUGGAAGAGGGAACAUAUGAUGUUUGUUGACCUAGAAAAAGCUUUCGACAAAGUGGGUAUUUGGAUUGACUUAUUUUAAGUAGCUUUCGACUUUUAAACUCUUUUUGUUUGUUUUGGAAGUGUUCGAAAAACACAAAAAGUGCUUUUAAGCAUUUUUUUUUGGCUGAAAAAGAACAAAAAGAAGAGUCAAAAGCCAAAAAAUGGGUGUUCCCAACUUAUUGCUUUUAGCUUUUAACUUAUAUGCCACUUUAAAAAAGUCAAUUCGAACAUCCCCCAAGUCCCUUGGAGGGUUCUAUGGAGUCGUUUGAAAGCUAGACGUGUACUUGCAGCUUACAUUAGGGCGAUUAAGGACAGAUUCAAUGGAUCCAAGACCCGAGUGAGGACAGUGGGCUGAGACUCGGAGCACGUCAGUAUUUGCCCACAAUGUAGUGACCCUGACUUGUGACAUUAAUGACUUCAGGAACCAAAUUAUGUUGAAUUUGCUAUUUUACCUUUACUUAAAUAAUUUGUUUUUGUAGCACCUAAAUGGCCAUAUAUGGUGGGUUUUGCCUAUAGCUUGCAUAUUAGAAGUGUGCUUUAUCUCUGACUAUCUUCCCUAGCACCAGUAAUGCACAUAUAAAUUCUUGCUUUUAAAAUUGAGAUAGCUUCCAGAUCAUUUUCAUUCCUUGAAAGGUCUUAGUAUUUCUGCAGCAGAAUUUUGUAGUUUCUCUUGUAUGCUGAAAUUUUAUAGUUCUGCUUAUCUUUUCAGGUAAUUUCUCAGGUUCUAUUAACCAGUAAUGGGAAACGAGAUUAUUUGAAAUGUAGCACUGGGAAACUUCUCGUGUUACUGAUGCUUGGUGGUUUAGCAUAUCUAGUACUGACUAAUAAAAGUGCUGUCCAUCCCGUGUCUGAUGGUAUAGCAAAAAAUGAUGGAUCAAAGGAAGGAGAAAAUCUCAUGACUCAUGGAAGUGGUAAAUUCAGGAGAUUUUGGAGGAAACCACCUAGACUUCCACCCCGGUUAUCUCCUGAUGAAAUAAUUAGUAGGAAUAGAUCCAUUCAAGAGUCCAUGAAAAGAGAGGAGCCAGAAUGGGUGGCAAGACAACAGAAGGUGAAAGAUGCAUUUAUCCAUGCCUGGUCUGGAUACAAAGCCCAUGCCAUGGGUUAUGAUGAACUUAUGCCCUUAAGCCAUAGAGGGGUUAAUGGUUUAGGAGGUUUGGGAGCUACAAUUAUUGACGCUUUAGACACGGCUAUGAUUAUGGGAGCUGAUGAAGUCGUUCAUGAAGCAGGCUCGUGGAUUGAGAAACAUCUUCCUGAGAGGAUUGAAAAGAAAGGCCAAGUAAAUCUCUUUGAAACUACAAUACGACUUCUAGGUGGUCUUUUGAGUGCUUAUCACUUAAGUGGUGGAAGUCAAGGGAGAAUUCCAGAACAGAAAGGGCCUAAUCCAUCUAUUUACCUGGAAAAUGCUAAGAACUUGGCUGAUCGCCUACUUACUGCUUUUACAGCAAGUCCAUCCGAUAUUCCAUACAGUGAUGUAGUCCUGCGUGAAAAGUCUGCACAUCCUGCUCCUGAUGGUCUGAGUAGCACUGCGGAAGUUGCAACUAUACAGCUUGAAUUUAAUUAUCUUAGUUAUUUAACAGGUGAUCCAAAGUAUAGCACAGAAGCCAUGAAGGUUCUACAACAUAUAAAGACUUUGCCAAAGGUGGAGGGACUGGUCCCUAUAUACAUUAGGUAAGUAACUAAGAUCGUAUUUUCCUAUGCCAGCUUGUAUAGGCAGAUGCUUGCCCUCGGAAUAUCUGAAAAGUAAUUAUAUCAUGUUCUGCAAUAAUUCCAGUAUCUUGAAAUGCGUCUUGUUGACCGGUAAUUCAAUGCAACUUCUAAUAAUGUAGGGCAUUCAAUGCAACGGUAACAUAACCAUAUGAUUUUAAAAAAGGCUUCUUUAUGUUCUGCCUGUUUCUUUGUUUUAUUGUUAAAGUAAAUAUAGCUUUCCUGACAAGAUUAACUGUUUAAGAACAUCUUAUGAUGAAGAUGGUCUACAGUUCACUCGAUAUCUGUAGAGCCAAUUAACUUCUACUAUUCAACAUGCAAGAAAACCAGAACAGUAUUUUCUACAUCUAGUUGUAUAUGUAUUGCUGGUUACUCUUCUGUCUCCUGAUUCUAAAUUCCUACUUACAGUUGCACUAAACUAAUUUUUCCAUUGCCAAUUCCUUCUUCACUGUAUCAUGUUAGAAAAAUGCUUUUGUGCUCACUUCCAGAAAUCCUGCAUAUAAUUUGCAAGACAUGUUUCAAAAUUUGAAACACAAAUCUUUCUUGCCAAGGAUCCUUAAAUGUCUUCACUAUUUGUUCAUGAUUUCCAAGUUAUCUAAUCGUAAACGAAGUCUAAACCUAAAUUUCACUUUCCUCUCCACAACCAGAACAUAUGGGCAUCCUUAUCAGUACAUUUAAUUCUUGUUGUAGAACCAUGCUAGAUGUGUACAUUAGGAUAGAAUUAACCGGUACUUGUACAGGUGUAAGGUAGUAGGUACCUAGGUGGAUUCAUUGAGUUGCAUGUAAGCUGGCUCAGACACCAUUACUACCAAAGAAAGAAAGGGCAUGUCUGCUAUAAGCGAGUACCUUUAUUAGUACACACACACACACACACACACAACACACAUAUAUAUUCAUGCUUCCUUAACAUAUUAAGACUAGCAUCUAGUUGUGGUUAGGAUCUCUGAAUGGGUCGAGGUGAAAAUAUCUUGUUCACUUGCUUCAGCAUAUGCUUUCACCGCCACAUCUUUCUUUCCAUGCUCAGCCACUUCAAGUGAUACUUCACCAUUUCUUGUGCCAUGUAAGUAUCUCAGCAAAAGCUGGAAUUUAACCCUGCAGAUUACAUGUUUAAGAAUGGGUGGUUUUUAUAUUUAUUUAUUCUUACUUGUCUACUGUUGGAUUAAGAAAAUAAAGAACUGUUAUACCAGUUGACUCAUCAUUUGAGCUUAUGAUGAUGUCAGCCCUCAAUCCGGACAGUUUAGUGGAGACAAUAUUAGACUUGGAUCUCGUGGUGAUAGCUAUUAUGAGUAUCUUAUCAAAGUGUGGCUUCAGCAGAAAGGAACUAACUUUUCAUACUUGUACGAUAUGUAUGUCGAAGCAAUUAAAGGUGUCAGGCACCUUCUUGUUCGCAAAUCUGUUCCAAAUGGCUUGGUCUUUGUGGGAGAAUUGCCAUAUGGGCAAGAAGGUGGUUUCAGUCCAAAGAUGGAUCACCUGGUAUGCCAUUUCUCUUAUUAUUCUUUUUCAAAUAUACUUCAGCAUUGUAAAGUGAAAAGGUCAAAAUGGGACUAACAGGGAAUCAGCUGCACGAUGCCACAGUUAGCCGCAGAAUUCUAUUUUUUCCUUUUGAAAAAUAAUUAAUCUUCUUAAGCAACAUGGAAAUCCUUUCCUUGAUAUGUUAAGCCAAUUCUCUAUUAUAAAUUUCUUAUGCUGAUAGAACGUUUUUUUCUUUUCUUUUUCUCCAAAUUCUUCAUUCAUUUUGCUCGCUCAAAGAGUUCACUAACAUACUAAAAUCACUGGCCGUAACUUUGAUUUUCUUCUUCUGAGUGCAUUGAUUUAUGAUGGAUUACAAGUUGCAGAUAUCAUAUAGCUUUACCUCACUAGCUAGGGUAUACAUUUCAGUAAUGUGCUUUUUAUUGAAGUAUAUAAUCUCGAAUCUUAAUUAAAGAAAUUAAUCUUCUCCUGCCUCUUUCUUUUCUAUUCACAAUGAGACUUGUUUUCCUAAAUGUAUGAAAGCCGUAUCUUAAAUGUUGAUGUCUGUUCUUAUAAGUUUGAUAUCAUUUGACAUCAUCCGCAGGUGUGUUUCCUUCCUGGUACCCUAGCCCUUGGUGCUACAAAGGGGUUGACAAAGGAAAGAGCUAUGAGAGAGAACUUGCUCACUUUUGAAGAUAUGGAAAACCUAAAGCUUGCUGAAGAUCUGGCUAAGACUUGCGUGGAAAUAUACUCAGUAACCUCUACUGGCCUUGCUCCAGAAAUAGCUUAUUUCAAUAUUGAGGUGAGUUGAAACAUUUUUAUUUCCUUCAUCACUUUUGGCAACUAUCAUAUUAUGUAAGGUGGUGUUUUCAGUUUUCCUUUAUCGGUCUUUUUUCUUUUCUUUUUUGAGGAAGGUGAGUUUUUGAAAGUUAAAAGAAUUCUGUUGCAUAUCUUAAACUUCUGAUCUGUGUUUUAACUCUUUUAUGUCUAGAUGUAACACGGAUUAAUCAGUUGUAAAAGAUGUAAGAAUUAGGGCCCUUGUGCAUUGGCUUAAUAAAAGUAGCUUCUAAGAGGGUGUUUGGAUUGACUUAAAAGUUGGCCAAACCUACUUUUAUGUCGGUUUUUUACUUUUGGAAGUAUUUGACAAAUAUAAAAAAUAAUUUAAGAUAAGUCAAAAUUGAGUUAAAUAAGUUGGGAAGGGUUUGACAGACUUAAAAUAAGUUAAAAACCAAAAGUACGUUUUACCCUACUUUUUAUUUUUUGACUUAAAAGUCAUUCAGGUUGACUUUUUAUUUUUGACGUAUCAGCUACUUUUAUUAAGCCAAUCCAAAGGGGCUCUAAGUCAAAAAUAAAAAGUCAAACUGAAAUGAAUCAAACCAAUCUGGAAAACAAUCAGAGUGAAAAUGUGCCUAUCUUGACUUGAACAAUCUAAUAUCAUCAUUAGUGAGAUGCAAUAUAAAUUAAUGAUAGUGUUCAUAUGUCUACCCUGACUUGAAGUACUAUUAUGACAUAAUUGGAAAAAUUCUUGCAUCAUAAAUGUUUUUCUGGUAUCUUGUUUUCUUCGAGCAGGGAAAUUCUGAAGGUGGUCCUGGUGGUGGGAACAAAAGUUCGAAAUAUUUGAAUGACAUAAUCAUAAAGCCUGCUGAUCGUCACAAUCUUUUGCGCCCUGAAACUGUUGAAUCAUUGUUUUAUCUGUAUCGCAUUACUGGCGAUUCAAAGUAUGUUCUUAUUUUAAAGUUGUGUACUUUUGCUUUAUGGGCUUGAACAACUAAGUUUGUUAACUUUGUGGACUCUUCUUCAGGUAUCGUGAAUGGGGCUGGCAAAUUUUUGAGGCAUUUGAGAAGUACACUAAGAUUGAUUCUGGAGGUUACACUUCUCUUGACGAUGUUACUGUUAUUCCUCCACAAAGAAGAGACAAGAUGGAGACUUUUUUCUUGGGUGAAACACUCAAAUACAUCUAUUUGCUGUUCGGUAAUAGCACCACGAUCCCUUUGGAUGAGUAUGUAUUCAACACAGAAGCUCAUCCUAUUCCAAUAAUUUCUAGAAGUGUAUGAUUGAUACUUUGCUUGCAAGAAGAAAUAUUUUUUCCAGUAUUAGCGGAGAUUCAGAUGACCCAAGAGAACAUGUUUCAGCAAUCUCAGAUGGCAUUUUAAUUCGUUUAAGUCGGUUCAUUAGGUUGGAAGUGACCUCAUGGAAGCUUAUUCACAAAUGUUCCAUUUAGAUGAAGCUCCCUGAAAUUUCCAUCUGAAACUUCUACUCGAGUGAUACUUGAGGCGGGGAAUUUUCGAUGAACAUCUUGUUUGUGUAGUGCAUACAGAGAUAAUUACAAUUUUUAUUCAAGUGUUAAAGGCUUAAAGCUCUAUGUUGUUAUUCAGGGAAAGAACAGGAUAGUGUAAUCCUUCUGUAGUAAGUUGGAACUUAUUCUUGUAAUUGAUGUAUUACAUCUACAGCUUUGAUUUCUCCCUUUGGAGAUACAAAGAUUGAAUCAUUUAGCCUAACAUUUACACAAUGAGAUCAAUAUACAAUUGCUUUGAACCUCUUCUCUACACUUUUGAUUCGCGAUCAAUGAUGAUUAUAUUCUAUGCUCAAGCAUUUGUGUUAAAGGAAAAACAAAUGGUCGCCAUCUCUGACAACAUCAAUGUCAUCUAUUUCAGCAUCCUCUGCAUUUACAGCUCUCUGGAAAUCACAACCUCCAAAUCUUUGACCUGCAGUUGGAGGAAGCUCCAGAGUGAGAAAGAAUGAUCGGCGUUCUUUCAACUUUCACAAAAUGAAAGGUAAUUACCUGCUACUCUGAAGAGCUCUUGUAGUGAAUCAGGUAGAAUGAUUAGUUUCCCAAACUGGUGAUGCAAUGGUUCUUUCUUCAUGUGAAUGGUGAUUCUCUUCUUAUGGUGGGUAGAUUUUGUCCCUUGAGAGCCACUUGAACUGGUACUACAUGUGGGUCUUUUAAGGCAAGAGUUGGAACAAAAGGGGACCUCAGGCUUCAGUUGACAGCUCUUUGUUCCCUCAUCUGGUCCAAUGAGCUCUACAUUAUGCUCACUUAACUCACUCUUAUUUUCAAGAUUUAUUGACAAAUCAUUCAUGGUUUUGUUUACUUCUUGUCCAUCAUCUUUCUCUUGCUUCUUAACUCUAGCUUCCAAAUUAUUGAUAUCUAUGCUAGUAAGUGUGAUAUCAUCAUGCCUUUUGAUUUCUGGUCCUGCGUUUGAUUGGUGGUCCACAUAACCAAAACCUCCAAAUCCCUGAAGUUUCUGAUUAACAAAAAGAACCGAUUUGUCAAUUUCGUUUUUUUUUUCCUAAGCAAUAACAACAGUGGAUGAUUUACCAGUACAUAAUCUGGUUUACUUACCAUCAAUAGAUUGUUCAUAAUUAUCCGUUCAUCUUCUGGAUUUGCUCGAAGAAUGUUCAUCAAUGAUGUCCUGUUUAGCCUUAGAAUCUGAGAAAUCUCGGUGGUUCGAACAGCAAAUGGCUGUGGUCUCCCACAUAAAACACCUAUUUCUCCAAAUAUUUCUCCUGCAACAGCUUUUCCAAUUGUCUGUUUGGGAACAUGAUUGAGAAGAGAGAUUUAGUUAUAUAUCCUAAAGUUGACACUUAAUAAUAAUAGUUACUAUGUAGUAAUAUACAUACUUGCUCUAGCCCUUCAAUCUGUGCUAUAAAUUCCUGCAACAAUAACAUAUAACAUACUGAUUAACAACAUGACAAACACAGCUUUAAUAGUAUGCACAAAAUCUAUAAACUAAACUUACCACUGCUCCUGAAACUAUUAUAUACAGAUCAGUUGGUGCCUCAUUCUGCAAAAUUACGUCUUGCUUCGGAGGGAAGUAUUCAGCUUCCAUUUCAGGAACCUUAGAAAUCAAAGUAUCACACUGUUAAAACCAAUGCAAGAGUGAUCGAGAGAACAAAAGAGACGGCAAGGGAAGGGGAGAAAAUUACCAGUUGGAAAAGGAGGUUCCGUGAAACACCUUGGAACAAAUGAACAUUUUGAACUAUAGGAAAAAACAGAUGGUGUGCAAUGCUUGUUCUAAUGGCUUUAGGCAGGCCAUUAAGAGUCUCUUCUUGUUUCAAUGUUUCUGUUUUGAACUUGAGACACAUGUGAGACAAAACCUGAUCUUGCACUCUUGGAGGCAACUGAUUCCUUUUCGCGAAUUCUUGAGCUGCUUUCACCGUCUCCCUCUACAAAAGAAACAAGACUUCACAGGUUUAAGAUGAAGAACACGCGAUAUACGGAGACAGAGAAGGAGGAAGAAGAAGAAGAAGCAUACGAAGUUUCUGGUGCGACUAGUCCAAUGAACAACAAGGUUAGUCAUGUUUCCAAUUAAGUACGAUGUCAAUCCCAAGUUGAAUAACAUGUAAAAGAUGUCAAACAGCAUCUCUCUUGAGUUCUCAGCAUGCAAGUCUCCAUAACCGGUUGUGGUCAGCGUUACAAUAGACCAGUACAAUGAAGUUAUGUAUCUAUCCCCAACACUUAGUUGCUUGAAAUCUGGAUAUACAGCACCAAUCCAUGUCUUUUUCGGAUCAGGAUAUCUAUCAGCAAUCAUAUAGUUAAUGCAUCCAGCACAGUGAACUGCAAACAAUGUCACCUGAACUCCAAACAAACCACAUGUUGCUUGUCAAAAACAUAUUUUUUAAAAUCAUCUUUUUUUAAAGCAUGGAUAGGACUUACUGAUACGAGCUUUGUACAUCGCGUCCAGAAGUAGUUGAACCGGAUAUCCUUCUCAAGUCUGAAGGAAAGCAAACCGGCUUAUAUAUGUGAGUUUUUUUAGCAUUGAUCAUAAUUCAUGAUGUAGAAACCAAAUACAGUGUGGUAUUUUGGACCUUGCAAACAGGGCACUGACUCGUCUGAGACGCCAUAAUCUGAGCAUGCUGAGCAAUCUGAAUCCAACUCCUCCGCUUUCUUUAUGAUCCGUGAAGACGAGUAUCAACGAUUGGAAUGGUACAGUAGAACAUACAUCGAAAAUGAACCAUGUUGACAAGUACCUGUUUACUCACAUUGACAUAUAAUUAGAAAUUUAGAAAAUCUCAUUCCCUCUGUUUAUAUAUGUACAUAAAGAUUGAAUCUUUAACUAUACCUUAUUGCUAUUUUCUUAGGUUCAUCAACAAGAAGAUAAGACUCUGGAUGAAGAUACGCGACGAAGAAAGUAAGUAAAAUGUCAAUAGCAAAGAAGCAAUCAACAAUGUUGUCAACAAUGAACAGAGUAUCAUCUUUCUUGUAUGACAAGAAUGCAACUUCAAACAGAGAAAUCCAAGCUGUGUAAAUAACCAUAACAACUAGAAACAUCUCCCAACACCUGAAAUCAUAACAAUCAUUAAGUUCAAAAGCGGAAAUGUCAAUCAGUCGAUCAGAGUCAUUUUAUCUUACCUGUAACGUGGAUUAUAAGGCGAAAUGAUGAAUCUUCGGAGUUUAGUAGCGUAGUUGAUUCGAGCUCCAAGUGAUGGUAGAAGAUCACUAGAGAAAAAACCACUAUGUGUGGUUUCUGUAUCCAUUUGGAACUCCUCCACACAGAACCGUUGUAAACAGUUUUUAGCAUAAGAAAAUGACAUUAUUAUAUAUUGCUGCUUCUUUUUUUUAAUUUUUAGAGUUUCUUUGAAAACGCGAUAUCUAAUAUUUAAACUAGUUAUUUUUUAGCGCGUUUAUAUAUAUAGAGGAUGUAGUUGAAGAAGUAGUUGGGGUGAUACACGGGUCAAGUGUUUCUUUAUUGUGAUUCUUUUGAAAAAGCAUUUAACUUUAAGAACGUGACAUUGCUACUUCUUAUGGUAUCUUUCCACAAGUGAGGUCCGGAGAAGGUAGACUGUAUGCUGAUCUUACUUUAGGGUUCGAAGAAGGUAGAUCGUAUACCGAUCUUACUGUAGACUGUAUGUAGAUCUUAUUGUAGGGUCCGAAAAAGGUAGUUUGUAUGCAGACCUUGUUGUGGGGUCCGGAGAAGGUAGAUUGUAUGCAGACAUUACGGUUACCUAGUGGAGAUAGCUAGAGAGUCCCGUUUUCAAAAGCUCGAGUGUGCAAAUGCAAGUAAAAAGGAGAAGAAAAACAUAACGAUAUCGAAACACAGUAAACAAAUGACGUGGCGAGAUAUAAGUUAUACGGUUGUUGAAGUGGCAGACAUGAUUUUCAUGAUAAUAAUUCAGGUGCAAAUGAAAUUUUGUGAGAGAAUUAAGAGAAAGAAAAAUGGAAAUAAUGUUGUAAGAUUUUUGGGGGAAAAUGGUAAUGGUGGUGGGAUCUCCACCAAGAUAGAAAUUUUAAGAAUAAGCAUUUUAUUGUAAGGAUGGAAUGGAAUUUGAGUGAAAAAACAGAUAGGUGUUUUUCAUUUCAUUUUCUAGAAUUGGACCAACAAAUCACAAAUAGGAUUUGGGGAACUAUUUUGUGGAAAACACGUGGACCAAUAAGAAAUCGAAUUCCAUGUGAGAAAACUUUAGUUUUUUUUACAAGUAACAAAAAAAAAAUCUACUUCCUUUUUAUCCUUUCCUUUUCAAAUUUAAAGAAUCAAUUUUUCUAACCUUAUGUUAUUAAUAAAGUAGUUGUUGCUACAAUGUAAGUUCGAUUUUUUAAGUUGUGAUCAUGUCUUAAGGGAUACAAUUGGAAAUGACGUUGGACUACGAUAUUCUCAUUUGUACUACACCUUUUCCAUUUCGAAUUCUCUAUUGAAGUUGUAGACAGAAUAGUUGACAAAAUUUGUAAAAGGUCGAUAAAAUCGUAGAAUGAUUUUAUUUGGAAAUUGAAAUGAUGCCCAUGCCUAACAAAUGUUGUUGUGUCUUCUCCAUACAUAAGGUUCCAUGUGGUUGAUUUUUAGAAUUCAUUGAAUCCCUUUUGGUAUUUUAAGUCACAAAUUGUAUCAUAUAUUACAAAUUUUGUUUUAGUUAAUGUUGGUAUGGAAUGCAAAAUGAUAGAGACGGGUGAAGGGUUGGUUCAUGCAAUAAAUAACACGCCCACAUGCAUAAAAUUUCUUAGAAAAUGAGGUGUUUGUGAAGAUGGGUGAGAUUAAAUGGAAAAGGAUAUAGUCUUUAAGUUCUAUUUAAUGAUGAUGAUUAGGGGCGGAGCCAAGUUAGGUAAGAUUUAAGGAGUUUAUUUGAAUCUUUUUCGAUAAAAAAAUAUGUCGAUUGUUAUACAAUUAAAAUUAUUUUUAUAUAUAGUAAACGUUGAAUAAUCUUUGAUUCCUUUAUGUAUGUAAAAAAAAUUUAUAUUUUAAAUUUUUUAAUAAAAAUUUCUGAUUUCAUCUCUGGUGACGAUAUCAUCAUCACGAUGAAAGAGAAUAUUAAGGAGGAGGAGGACCCCAUUUAGUAGGGCUUAGGAGGGGAAUUUUAUUAUGAAAAUCACAUUAUUUGGGAAAGAUGUUUUGCCGACUUAAUUUGCACUGUAGCAAAAUUAAACUCCAUUUAUCAAUCAAUUACAGUAAAGCGGUAAGUAAAUAUUUAUUUUUAAUCAAGCUCAGUUUGAAUCUAAUUGAAUACAGUCAUCUUUGUUAAAAGUUAUUUUAUUUUUCAGUGUACGACUUUUUUAUAUGAAUUAUAUUUUUUACAUAAAUUUAAUGGAGAUAAAAACCUUCAUAAUGUGUACGUACAAAAAUAAAUCGUAACCAAAUAAAUUUAUAAAAUAUUCUAGAAUAAUAUGGUCAAAUCGAUCAGCAAUAGUGACAUACAAAUCGAAGGAUCACACAUACGGUUGCUUAAUUAUUAAUCUAAUGCUUUUAAGAUAAGGUUCUAAAAGUUUGGCGAGUCAAAGUAAAAUUUUGUAAGUAUAGAAAAUUUUGGUUUUUAUAAAUUUGCUCAAAUUAUCGAUUUAAAGUUUGAAUGUAAAAAACUAAUCACAAUCAAUAUAAAAUUAAUCAAUUUGUGAGGAAUUCUAAUAAGACAAGCCAUCAUUAUAUUCUCGAAAGAACUUGUACUAGAAACCAAAUUUAGUUUAAGAGAAAUUUUGGGUUAAAAUUAUCAAUAAUUUUAAAGUACGUUAUGAAUGAGAUUAUUUUAAUUUUAAUUAAUAAUUUUGUAUUUGAAUUUUAGAUAUGAAAUUAACUUUGAUAACGAGUUCAAAUCUCGAAUGGACUCCUAGCUAGCACGAAUAUAGAAUAGUAGGGCAAGAUUAAAAAAAAAAAUCGGAUAAUAAGAAACUUUUAAAAAAAAAUAAAAAAAAUGUAUCAGUAGUAUUAUAUUUUAGGCUAAGGAGCUAUAUUUCUCCUUAACUUGAAAGAUAAGUGUCAUUUGCACUUCCGUUUACAUUUUAUUUUAAGCUGGCCUUUAAUUUUUAUCUAUUAAAAAAUAAUUAGAUUAUAUAAUUAUUUUGUUGGAUGUAAUUUAUACUUUUAGAUUAUAAUAUUUCAUAAUGAUUGUUUUGCUAGAGGUAAAUAAAUCCAACUUUUAACGACAACAUAAAAAAUUAAGGCUGUAUUUUAUAUAAUAAAAAAAUAUUUUACGAGGGAUGAGAGUUGAGGGAAGAAACAAUAAACUUAGAAUGUAUCAAUCAAAUAAAAAAAUAUUUUUUGAAAAUAUUUUUCUCCCUCCCUACGAAACAUACUGAGACACCAACUCGUUUAAAAGGCAAAAAUGCAAAUAAUUCUUUACAUGACCUAAUAGUAGCGUCACAAGUGGUCCAAAACUUAUAAAGAAGAAUAAAUGUGUAAAGUCUCUUUCUUCUUGUGUAAAAAUUAAAACAACAAACUAAAAUAUGUAAAGAAUCUAAGUCUCUUUUAACUAAGACCAUAGAGUAAAAUAUAAAGGAUAUCCUCUAUUUGUGGUCUAGUAUAAUCCAUAUAGGAAUUUACCCUACCAUACAUACACAAAAAUUAUUGUUUAAUUUCAUCCUCUUAUAUGGAACAAACAACUCCACCUUAUAAAUAAAAGGGAAAAUGCACAAGUACCCCCUCAACCUAUGCCCGAAAUUCCAGAGACACACUUAUACUAUACUAAGGUUCUAUUACCCCUGAACUUAUUUUAUAAGUAAUUUUCUACCCCUUUUUAGCUUACGUGGCACUAGUUUGAAAAAAAAAUCAACCAUCAUUGGGCCCACAAGAUAGUGCCACGUAGGCUAAAAAGGGGUAAAAAAUUAUUAAUAAAAUAAGUUCAGGGGGGUAAUAGGACCUUAGUAUAGUAUAAGUGUGUCUCUGAGAUAUCGGGCAUAGGUUGAGGGGGUACUUGGGCAUUAUCCCUAAAUAAAAAAACAAUGAUAUGGAAAGUGAAAAAUAAUUGCAGAAUUGUAAUAACUUAAUUGUAGUUAAAAAUAAAUUUUUAGUAAUAUGUAGCAAUUUUUGUAAAUAUCUUCAAAGCUUAUACUGACAUUAAAUUCAAUAUCAGUUAACUAAUAUUAAUAAAGAUUUUAUCACUCUUUAUUAAUAUUUAUUUAUUACAAGUAAAAACUGUUUUUUAGUUGCAAUGGGCCAAAUAAAAAUAAAAGGGCAACUUGCAAACAUAAAAUUCAAAUUUGUAUGCUACAGCAAAAUUUGCAUAAUUGCGCUCCAUAACAAAUAUAUAAAUAUAUAAUUCGCUAUACAUAUAAAACUGAAAGCUAUGCCCAUUUCGUUGUAAUUAUAAGUGUAUAGGACGGAGAUAUUUGCAUUUGCAUGUGUAUAUAAAAUUUUCUCUCGCUUUAUACAAACAGAAACACAAUAUAUACAAUUAUGUUGUAUAAAGCAAGAGAGGCAAGCGACACUGACAAACAAUUUGUUAAGAAACACAAAUAAAUUAAACUAUUUGCUAAGGAACACAAAUAAAUCAAACAGUAGCUACUGUAUUUAUUUUACAUUAUUAAUUUGCUAUUCUAUACAAGCAAAAGACCCAUACGUAAGUAGAAAUUAUAUGUAAGAAAAUAGAUAUACCAAUUUUAAAUUUUUAUAUCAUGUAAAAUUUAUUAACUUCAUAACAACCAAUAAUGGACACGUGAUAUAUAUGCAGCAUAGUUUUCAUGUAAUCUCAAAAAUGUGAUGUGUAUAAUUGUAAGAAAUAACUGUAAUAUUUUCAAAAUUCACUCAGAAUAAUAUGAAAAUACUUCACUUUCUACAUUCAAAUGAAGUGAGGGGUAACUUUUCUUCCUUUUUGAUUUAAAAAAAAAAUCUAUUUUUAAUAGUAUCAAAUACCAAAAAGUAACUUUUCUUGAAAAUAAUAAAUAUUAUUAUUUUUUCUCUAAGCUUAUGCCAACGAAGUUGGAUCUUAAAUACAAAUAGUUUCGUAUUGUCAAUGUCAAGAGAUAUGAAUAAUAAUAAUCCUUGUCUUUUUCUUUUAUUUAUAUUUUUAUAUUUUUCGAUCCGUUAACUUUGUUAGUAGUUUGCCCUUUGACAAGACCAACAAAAUAAAAGUUAAUCCUUUUGUUUUAAUUUUUUAUAUAAUUAAAAUUAAAUAUGUGUUAAAUAUAUUAAAAUAUUUUUUAAUUUUAUAAUCUUAAAUAUAUUGAAAAGAUAUCACCCUUUCAAAAUCCGACUAAAAAAAUAUUGGUCAAACAAAUGAAAGAAAAUAUUUUUGAUAUAUUAUUUAAUUCAAAUAAAAUAUUUUAAAGUGAAAAUUGAAAAAGAUUGGGCAUUAGAAGAAAAAGGAUCUUCUUAGAUAUAACUGCCACGUGCAUCACAUGUGAGAAUUAGUGGGUGUAGGUUCCAUGGAGUUGGGCUAAGUUUGGCCACAUCCACUCCACUUGUUUCCUAAGUUACAAUUUAAUUAGCCCACUUGACAUCAUAUCCAUUCAUUCACGAUCCAAAAAUUCGAGUCAUAAUGAUAUUUAUUAAAAGCUAUUAAUAGAUUAGCUAAUUUAUAUUUCGAAAUAACAAAAAUAAUAAGUAUAUCACGCAAAAAAUUGGAAGCAAUGGAAUAUAAUAGAGAAAAAAUAAUAAAAAAGAGAAAAGACGUAAAUAUAUAUAUAAAUCUAAUAAUUAUACUAAAAUUUAAUUGAAUUUAAAUUCGUAAAAUCAAUCUCAAAGGUUGACCUCGACACCUUCUUUAUAUUGGAUUGCUAAAGCCUAAUUCCCAAACGAAGUGUUUGGCAUGUUACUAAUGCAAUCAAAAUUCCGACGUAUUUAAUAAGUUUGGUUUAUCACUCCUAAAACUCAUUCAUUUCAUGUAAUUUAAGACAUAAAUUAUAUUUUUUUUAUUUGAUAUUGAUAUCUACGUGACUAAAUUUGAAUUCAUGUUGAAAAGUUUUAUAUUAAGAGAUAAAACGCUCCUUAAGAAAGGUGACAUUGUACCCUAUAAACUCAAACCUGAAAACUCUCGUUAAGAAUAAAAAUAUAUUUACCGCUCCGUAUCCUUCGUCAUUUCACAACUUGCCCUUCCCUAGCUAAUCACCUAUAUAUCAUAUUGGCACAAUCUUCAUUGAACUUUGUAGUUCAAUUUGGUAGGACCUACUCAAGAUCCUUGUCAGAAACAACCCCACACCUAGGGAGUCUCUUAUUAUCCUUUAAUCUCCAUUUCUCAAUCCAUCCCAUUUAAAUUAAUUAAUUAGUAAAUACAUUUAAGAAAUUAGUACUACUACAUACUAAUUAAUUAAUUAAGCCUUUUUCAUGCUAGAAUAAAAAGGCUAGAGUAGUAGUCCCCAAAAUAAUAAGUUGGAUCCUUUUCUUGAAGUUUCAAGAAGGUCAAUUUCUCUUGACUUUUAGUUAAAUUGGAUGAAUAAAGAAAACAUUUGAGAAAAAUCCUCACCACCAGACCAAAAAGUCUAAUCAAAGAUAACUUAUUUUAAUCAAAUAUAUUUAUUAAAUUAUUACUUGUGUAGACACAUAGGCCAGCAUAUAGUAUAUGAGAUGAUAAAAUAGAAUAUAAAUUUUUAUGUAUUCUCUUUAUGAAAGUCAAAGUCUUUUUUCCAUUUUAAAAAUCUCUUCCCAAUUAUUUGGAGUUCAGACAAAAAUAACAAAGGACAAAAAGAAUAAGAAACAAAAUGCAAAUUUAUAAACUUGAAAAAAAAA
Molecule: long non-coding RNA, 38175 nt
Filed under: Solanum lycopersicum (tomato)
Lineage: Eukaryota; Viridiplantae; Streptophyta; Magnoliopsida; Solanales; Solanaceae
Description: long non-coding RNA (SLYC_LNC001185)
Source: RNAcentral